This 392-nucleotide RNase P RNA is filed under the name Candidatus Omnitrophota bacterium. RNAcentral describes it as "RNase P RNA component class A". It matches the Rfam family "Bacterial RNase P class A". From Rfam's summary of the family: Ribonuclease P (RNase P) is a ubiquitous endoribonuclease, found in archaea, bacteria and eukarya as well as chloroplasts and mitochondria. Its best characterised activity is the generation of mature 5'-ends of tRNAs by cleaving the 5'-leader elements of precursor-tRNAs. Cellular RNase Ps are ribonucleoproteins. Lineage: Bacteria; Pseudomonadati; Candidatus Omnitrophota. The record is from RNAcentral.
AAAGCAGAUCGGGUGAUUGCACAUAUCGAUUUUUUUGAUAUGUGAGGAAAGUCCGGGCUCCAAAUAGCGGCGUAGCGGGUAAUGCCCGUCCAUUGAAAGAUGAGGAUAACCCCACGGGGUCAUUUUUGGUUUGCCAAAAAUGAGAGCCACAGAGACGAGUCUUCUCGUUUUUACGGGAAGGGUGAAACGCGGUAAUCUCUGCGUGGAGCAAGACCAAAUAGAGAAGGAAUCAGAAAAAUCUGAAACGUGCGGAUGGACUGGUACGAGGCGGCUAGUCUCGUUAUAACUUCUGGGUAGGUCGCGGGAGCCUAGCAGUAAUGUUUGGCCAAGAUGGAUAAUCACCGGGCAGUUUUUUCUGUCUACAGAACCCGGCUUAUAGAUCUGCUUUUAAG